RNAcentral lists this ribosomal RNA (473 nucleotides) under uncultured bacterium. Its description in RNAcentral is "bacterial SSU rRNA". It matches the Rfam family "Bacterial small subunit ribosomal RNA", at positions 31 to 507 of the family's 1533-position model. The record is from RNAcentral.
AGAGAACGCUGGCGGCGUGCCUAACACAUGCAAGUCGAGCGGAGAUAGGCGGAAGGUAACUGAAGCUUAUCUUAGCGGCGGACGGGUGAGUAACACGUGGGCAACCUGCCUUGAAGUGGGGGAUAACACCGGGAAAUCGGUGCUAAUACCGCAUAACAUACACAAACUGCAUGGUGAGUGUAUCAAAGGAGCAAUCCGCUUUAAGAUGGGCCCGCGACUGAUUAGCUAGUUGGUAAGGUAACGGCUUACCAAGGCGACGAUCAGUAGCCGACCUGAGAGGGUGACCGGCCACACUGGAACUGAGACACGGUCCAGACUCCUACGGGGGGCAGCAGUGGGGGAUCUUGCACAAUGGGCGAAAGCCUGAUGCAGCGACGCCGCGUGAGCGAAGAAGGCCUUCGGGUUGUAAAGCUCUGUCUGGAGGGACGAACAAAAUGACGGUACCUCCGGAGGAAGCCACGGCUAACUACGUG